Molecule: long non-coding RNA, 8143 nt
Organism: Gallus gallus (chicken)
Lineage: Eukaryota; Metazoa; Chordata; Aves; Galliformes; Phasianidae
Source: Ensembl
AUGACCUGUUCCAGUCUGACCUUGAAUGUGUGAAGUGCCAGUGCCUCACCACCCUUAUUGUAAAAACUAUCUAAAUCUCCCUCUUCUAGUUUGAAACCAUUUCCCCCUGUCCUGUCAUAACAGACCUGGUUAAAGAGUCUGCCCCCUUCCUUUUUUAUAGCUCCCUUUUAGAUACUGAAAGGCUGCUCUCAGGUCUCCUUGGAGCCUUCUAUUCUCCAGGCUGAACAGCCCCAGCUCUCCUAGUCCUCAUAGGGGAGGUGUUCUAUACCUUAGAUCAUUUUUGUGGCUCUCCUCUGGUUGUGCUCCAACAGGUCCACAUCUCUCCUGUACAGAGGACUCCUCAUCUGGACACAGCACUCCAGGUGAGGUCACAUCAGAGCAGAGUAGAGGGCAGGGUCACCUCUCUUUCCCUGCUGACCGCACUGCUGUUGAUGCAGCCCAGGAUAUGGUUGGCUUUCUGGGCUGUGAGCGCACAUUGCUGGCUCAUGUUCAGCUUACCAUCGGCCAGUGUCCCAAGUCCUUUUCACAAGGCUGGGCUGGGCUGUCCUCUAUCCUUUAAUUCCCCAGCUUGUAUUGAUAGUGGGGGGUUGCCAAGACCCAAGUAGAAGACCUUGAACUUGGAUUUGUUGAACCUCAUAAGGCUCUCUUGGGCUCACUAUUCAAGCUUCUCUAGGUUUCCCUGGAUAGCAUCCCAUCUCUCAGGAGUGUUGACUGCACCACGCAGCUUGAUGUCAUAGACUUCGUUAGGAAAACUUGUGUUAAAAAAAAUAUAUUUAUAUAUAUAUAUAUAUACAGAUAUAUAUCUUUUUGAUGAUUGCCUUAUUAUAAAUCAAAUGUUUUAUCUACAAAAUAUCACAGUAGAUCAGCAUAUCAUUUCAUUGCAUUCAAAACUUGCUAGGAUUAAGGAUGAGAACCAUAUUCUUUUCCUAGUUCUCCUAGUUGUGAGAAAUGUUGUGAAUCCACAGCUUGGAUUCAAUGUGGAAAUUACUUAGGACAGCAAAAAUUCAAUAUAUGUAUAUAUUUCCCAAUGAGCCUUUUUGUCCUACUGCUACAUAAAUCUUGAAUAAAACUAGUUUUGUUCUACUGCACUGAAAUCUACAUAUUAAACAUAAAAGCAAAGGAGGCCCUAGGCUAAACUUAAUUAGACAAAGGUGCAGAAACCUUGGUAAAAAUGACUGACAAAUACACUUUUAACUGAUUUCUAUUCAUGUUUGAUUUUUCUUUUGCUAUUUGCUCUAAAAUUCCUGUGAGCACAUUCUCAGCACUGCACCCACGUUAAUACUAACUGAAAAAUAUGUUAAUUUAAAUUCUUAUGUGGGACAUCUAUCUUGCUGGUUUGUUGUGGUUGUUUCUUAUGCAAAAUCAUGAUUUGCUAUAGGUGUCUUCUGAGACCAAACUAGUUUCAUUAAUAAUCAGUAACUAGAGAGCGAAAUUAAAUUACAGAGAUUACAAUUAUCUGGUAUUCUUUUUCUGCUAAAUAUUACCUAAAAUCCUCUUCUAAUUUUUCAGUUGCAAACCUGUUUGAGAUCCUGAAGGAGUAUCAUUGCCUAUGACUCCCUCUAGCGAUUCUGCUAUGAGAAAUGCAGCCAUCUGCAGAUAGCCAUACAAAAUCACCUCAAAUUCUUCAUUAAAUAAAUUAUUUACAUCUUGCAUAUUUUUUUGAAUAAUGGUAAUCACAUUUUCAAUAAAUUAAACUGGUUUUGCAGUGGGUUAAAAUAUUAUUCAAUGUACACUGUUUGGGGAAACAUAUUUUGCAGCAGUUUCAUAUGCAAGAAGCCUUUCUUCCUUCUAUUAAAUGGAAAACUGAUAAACCAGUAGAAAUACAAGCUUUGAUGUUAAAAAUGAAUAGCACUAGUGCAUCCCUUGCUUGAUAUUGUUAAAGGCACUUGAUUUUCAAAAAAUGCUGAGCAUUCUUUGUGGGAUGAUUGGGAAACUUCCACACAAAAAUCACUCUAAAUUAUUUACUGCUUGAUACUGCACAUCACUUUUUGUAUUAAUUUGUGACACAGUAAGACAGAACACCCUAAUGUGAUCAACACACAGCCACUUUACUGGGUGUACCUAUAACUUACAUUCUCUCUAUCAUUAAGAUUCUAAAGUCUUCUUUCCAGUUCUAAUAGUUGCCGACCAUAACCACCCAUUGGUAUUUUUACACUAUCUCAAAAACCUUUUACAAGCAUGUCUUUAAUCUUCAUAAGCAUUUUAACAGUGUGAGUUUUAUUAACUUCUUAUAUUAGAUUUGUUCCACAUAAACUGGCAUAGAGAAAGCUAACAUUUCCCCUGGUCGUAACUGGAUGUCACAUUAGUGGUCAGGUUUGGAAACACCACCAGUCAGUAAACAACAAACAGGGGCCUGCAUUCAGUUUACCACAUGCUCUCUGAGAGAGCUCAAAGCAUCUAGCAAGAGUAAAUGAUAGCCCACUUUUCUCUGCAUUCAGGAGGAUAACAAAUAUAGAUAUUUGUUCAGCAGUUACAAAAGUAACUCUAGAAACAAGAGGAAGUUACCAUCGAAAAAUUAUUUGCUAUAUAUCAUUAUUAUUAAUGAUUUUUGUUCUGAAUAGGAAUUUUCUGCCUGCACGUAUCUCAUGAUUUAACUUUUAUGCAUAUUUCACAGAAGUACAGGUGAUGUUUUGAUGAAAAACAAAAACCACACAUAAAUGCAAUUUCAGAUUUUGUUUGGCAGAACUAUAUUUUCAGCAGGCAGAUAUAGCAUCCAUGAGUAAUAGCCAAGACUUAAAUGAUAGACCAUAAUGUCCUAUGAGGUCAAACAAAAGUCAGGUAAGAGUGAUACAGUAAUCUACACUGUUCCCAUGUGGCAAACUGAAUGCAGGCUCCUGUUUGUUAAUUACUGACUGGUGGUGUUUCCAAACCUGACCAUCAAUGUGACAUCCAGUUAUGACCAGGGGAAAUGUUAGCUUUUCUUGUCAAUAUACCUCUUCAUGCUCUUGUUUUGAAAGGUGUGUUACAUAAUCCUGUGAAAAACUUAAUAAGAAACAUCUUGUUAUAUAAAUUGAAGGAAAGGAAUCUAUAUCUCAGUGCCAUGCAUUUCUGCAUAACUCUGUCUUCCAAAACAAUCCCAAGCAUUUUCCAAUUGAACAACCUCACUCGCUACUAUUAUACAGCAAUCUUUGGAAUGGGAAUUAUUAAGCACUUUGUAGCAGUACACAGCAAGAACUAUUUGCACAGAUUCUCCGCCAGUGUGCUUGCCUCAGACUUUUGUUCAUCAUGGCCUACCAAUUUUGGUUCCUUGGAAAUUUUCAGUACUGUCAUAGUCUAUUGGGUUGUAGGUAGAAGGAAAUAAUCCUGCAGAAACUCAGCUAUAAACCUGCAGUACUGUAAAGUAUGCAGAUAUACCAUAGUCAUGUAGAUUCACUCUGUGAUUUGUUUUCUUUCAUUUAUUUUUUCAUUUACUUACUUACUAUCCUGGAGAGAAGAAUACAGCUCAGUCCCCUACACUUGGUGUUCCAUACAUGCUAAUUUCAGCCAGCAAAAUAAAAAUAAAAAAAAAAAAUAAGUAGAACAUAAACACAAUGAAAAUGUACUCUGAGCUUAAUACAGAUUCCAGUUUGAUUUAGAUGAGGUCUCGAGUCUGGAAUUCAUUCUGCUUCAAGGAAGACUUAGAUGAAAUCUUCAUGACAAAUAUUGUUCUUCAACUGCAUGCAAAACUCAGCUGAAACUAGAAAGAAAAAAAAAAGAGAGAGAGAAAAUAUUUAAGACCAACUGAUAUUUGAAGACCUGUAAUGAGUAUUAAAUAAUAUUUAAUUUUGUUUGUAGGUUGAAAUGAUUAAACAACAGACUACAAUAUGGGAAAAAAAAGAGAAACACCCAGAGUGUGACUUUUCAUAAUCCGAAAUUAAAUAUCCUGAAGUUAUUUGGAAAUAAAGUUAUUAUUUCUUUUUCUUUUAUAGGAAAUCACUGGUAAUUGCAUUAACUCUGAAGGGAUUUUGUAUUUAUAACAGCAGGUAAUAUAAUCGCCUCUUAGUAUCUUUUGUUUUGAAUAUUUGGAAAGGUAUGUAAUCCUUCUAGUGUGCAUCAUUCUGAAAUUUAUAGCUUUCCAGUACAAGCUAAUUUAAAAUAAUGAAAAAAAAUAUUGUUUAUUCUAGCAUUUUUACAUGUCUAGACUGCUUCUUAAACACAAGCUGUGCUGUAAAGUACAGCAAAAGACACAAUAUAUUUCAGUUUUCCUAGUUUGUUUCUAUUUUACAAGACAUAAAUCCCCAAACACUCUUAAAAAUGCAGAGAACACAGAGUAACACUUGUUAAGUUUAUAAAAUUAAUUUAAAUGAAUGCUUUGAGCAUUUUUUUAUUAAUAAAAUAAUUUAUUAUUCUCAAAGACAUGACAAAUAUGUAUUGUACGAAAGGUAUGCAGGAAUUCCUAAGCUAGAGACUCAGUCUGAUUUUUAUCUCAUUUAAGUCAGCUAAAAUAGCAGUGGUACUGUUGCUGGCAUGGCUCCUGACCAGCUCUUGAGUAAUUAAGCAGGGAGCUGGGUUCACAAAUUCCUUUGUGUGCACUGUGUUCAGCUUUGAAUCUUUCUAGCCUCUCGUCUCGCAUUCCCAUUCCAAAGCAUGCCCUUCCGGUGUGAGUGCAUGAACUCUCAAAAUGUUCAGUACAAAAAAAUAAGUUGUUUUAUACAUUAUUCAUGACAUUUAUAAAACACUGUCACUCGACAACUGGGAUGAUGAAGUUUGUAUGUUCUACCUCCUGCUGUUAGGGAUUGGACUUCUUAAGUUUCAUAUUGUAAUCGUUUUGGCAACAAUCCUGCAAGACAGUAACCACCUCUGGUGCCUGGCUGUCACUCAGCGAGGUAUGUUUCAUGAAAGCACAACCCUACUAAAGCCAUACAGUCUGAACUGCCUACAUAUUGGCUUUAGAUGUGUGGUGUCUCCAGCUCUUGGAAUGACAGGAAUAUGUACCUGUUGCCAUUUGGCAGUCGUUCAUCUAGAUUUGUGGCUGUAGCUGUAUAUGUCUGAUAUUUCUAAUUUAUACUGUAUUCAUUUGAUACUGGAUAGCAAUAUUUUCAGUGGUGUAAAGACACGAUUGCAGCAGAAUGUUUCAUAGCUGUUCUGCUCCAGCUCCUCUGAAGUUAGGUUUUCAACUAGCUUGCAUUUUAGGCAUUUAUGAAUCUGAGUGGGGAAAAAAAAAAGUGAUUUGUAAGUUUCUUAGCAAAAAUAGUUUUUCUACGAAUAUUUUAGAAAAGUUGCUCGGCUAUUAUAAAUUAUAGUUCACUGCAAAGGAGGGAACUCUAAAAGAACAACUGUAUUCAAUGUUAAGUCCAGAUAGAGUAUCAACUGUCAUUUACGAAGUAUUGUGCAACCCAGGUAAGGAUUGCCCCUACAAAAGGUAAAACUAGGGAAUAUGUAAUAUCAAAAAGCAGAAGUAAAAGCGGUUCUCAUGCUCAGGGAUCCCAAGUGAGAUUUAUUUUACAUUUCCAGUAAAUGAGGAUGAUGGAAAAUGGAGAAAAUGGAAACUAAUUUUCAAAUAUGUGCUCAGAAAAUAACUUGGGAUUGAGGCAAAAUCCUGUUAAAAGAUGUAGUAAAGUGCAGCUACAAUUUGUUUUCUGCGUUCUUCUGUUGCUCUGAAGAGAAACAAAAAGAAACAAAGCAAAGCUACGCAAGGCCUUCAGCAGAAAGACCUCCAACCUUAUCUGUCACACUUGCAAAAGUAGCUCCCUUUUGUUCUCUAUGCCAGUCUCCACAUAUACCCCCUCCCCAGUAGUCAGGGGAAGGCUUUGUCUCUUAUUUUCCUUCAUAGAGACAUAAAAGUGAAUUACAGUAUUUCCUGGAGACUGUCAUCUGCUGUGGUCUCCCCAUGACUUAUCUGAGUGGCCAAAGUACGGCCGCUCAAGCAAUAUAUUUUGUAUGACCUUUGGAAAAAUGCUGAGAAUUCAUUGCAUGGCCAGUGCAUUUUUAUUACGAGGUUAUUCUAUAACAGCUCUAAAGCCAACAGUUGUAUAAUAUCUAUGAGGCUUUUCUCCUUUUGUUCUGAGAAGUUUACAAAAAGUCAGUGUGAAGAGAAAACAUAGAAACAGCAAUCCGGGAAAGGCAGGGACAGCUCCCAGAGCUGCAAGGCAGUGCCUGGAGCCAGCCAGCACCGUAGUCACAGGGGCCAGAAUUACACAAAACGCUGUAAAUCAGCCACCGCACAUACAGCAUCCUCCCCAACAACUGAAGAAGAAGAAUCAGCUGAAGUUUCUGUAUGGAAACCAUAUUUCUGAGAGUUUUUCUCUGAAGUACAAGUCUUACAAAGGAAGCAAGCUUGACCUUCACAGUAUGCAAAACUUUGGCUCUGGUCCUAGCUCUUUUCACAUGUGAAUAGUUCCUGUGGGGCCUCCUCAUGUGCUUAGAGUAACAAGCAAUUGCAGGAUUUAGACCUUGAUCUGAAUCAAGGGUAGCGGCAAUACCUUUCAAUAUGAGGAAAUAUUUUCGUCCUUAGUAAAGUGAUGCUACAUGGACAUAGUUAAUCCUACCCUGCCUUUGCCUCCUCAUAAAAGUGAGAAACCUCUUUUGUUUUGUUGAGGGUGUUUGUCCUUUUUAGAGGUAGCAGUUUGCCUCCCAAAUCGGUUACGUGAGCCAUCAAUGCCUUGAGCUAUUUUUUUUUUUUUAAGUUACUUUUAACUGCAAUAACAGCAUUCACUAUCUUCAACUUUUGGCUAUGUAUUUCAAACAUAGUUCAAACAGAACUGUUGGAUCCAUGGCAGCUCAUCCUCAAGUAGCACUGUGAGGCACCCACCCACCCCGGCACACUGCCUGCUUCCCUUCUGGGAACAGCUGCCGCUCCUGUGGCUGAGCGCUCUGGCUCAGGACAAACCACCAUGUAGGCCAGUAUGUCUCCCUGUAAUAAUCAAACUUCUUUCAGGAAAGCAUAUAUUCAACUAACAAUUUUUAUUUGAACGUAUUACUAGGAGAGGGGUCACGUGUCCAGAUAUCUCUUGACUCUUUAUAAGUGCAAAACUGUUGUCUGGUAGAAUACGCCUUCAUGGACUUGACUGGUUUAGAAAUCAUUGUAAUGACAGCCAAGUGAAACAGGUAUUAAAAGGACUGACAACCACUAUUAAUCUGUAUGCCACCAUCACGAUGUGCACCAAACGUAGCUGCACACUGCUCUCAUAUUUUGACCUUUUGCUGUUGUUCCCAUAUGUUUAUUUCACACAGUAUUGAAGAAAAUCAGAAACGUUGGUAAAGAAGUGGAAGCGGCUUGUGGGCACUGAGCACUGCUCUGCACUGCAGCUGGGACACCAACUCCUGGUUGUGGGUAAUGUUCUGUUCGUGCAAAAUGAGGCACCUCUGCUCCCUAUAUAUAUGGCACCAAAAAAAUGAAGCGACAGCCAAUUCGCUGCAUUCAUAGAAUAUAGCACCCAGUGUGGCAAAAUACCAUGGCUCAAACUCAGGCAACUGAAAUACAACAGGGAAAUAUAACCUAGAAGAAAAGGAAUUACGUCUGUUCUGUAGCAGUUUGGCAUGGUUAAUGGCCAUGCAAUUGUUCACUCCAGGUCCAUAUUCAAGGAAUCUCAUUGAAUGUAUGAGUUAACAAGUAAAAAUGGAUACAGUUCACCGAAUGACUGGGGAUUUUUACAGGCUGCUGUUAGAGCUCUCCUCUCUCUUAGAUACUUCUUUCUUCUUCUUCUUCUUUUUUUUUUUUUUUUUUUUUUUUUUUUUUCAGAGAAAUUGUGUUGUUGAAGCUACAUUUAGCUAUAAAUUGAGACGUUACCUACCCGCUGCUUUGGUGAACAAGGUGAAUUAAAGCUCUUGUGUACAUUUUCACACCAUUUUUAAAGAAGGACACGUAAAAUUUUGUGCUGUUAGGGUAAGUGCAAUUUCUUGUCUUGUUCAUCAAGAAAGAGUUCAAAUCCAGUUGCAAAGUACAGAGAAAAUGCUAAAUUAGUUACAAAUAAUUAUUGUGUUUGCUAUGAAGCGCCUACUGCAAGCAUUUGGCAAAACAGUGCAAAUACUUCAAGAUACUCAAAUUAUUAAAAUAAAUGCAGCAAAUUAGGUAUUAAUUAAAAUGUACGUUCACGCUAGCACUCAUAAACGGCAGAACUCACCGACACACUCACACGUGGCACUUUCCGCACACAGACCCUACGGCUUUGGCAGAGGCUGUCGCCCCGGGGCACGGCCAGCGGUUCCCGAGCGCGGGGCGACG